CAGGCCUAACACAUGCAAGUCGAACGGAAAGGCCCUGUUUUUGUGGGGUGCUCGAGUGGCGAACGGGUGAGUAACACGUGAGUAACCUGCCCUUGACUUUGGGAUAACUUCAGGAAACUGGGGCUAAUACCGGAUAGGAGCUCCUGCUGCAUGGUGGGGGUUGGAAAGUUUCGGCGGUUGGGGAUGGACUCGCGGCUUAUCAGCUUGUUGGUGGGGUAGUGGCUUACCAAGGCUUUGACGGGUAGCCGGCCUGAGAGGGUGACCGGCCACAUUGGGACUGAGAUACGGCCCAGACUCCUACGGGAGGCAGCAGUGGGGAAUAUUGCACAAUGGGCGGAAGCCUGAUGCAGCAACGCCGCGUGCGGGAUGACGGCCUUCGGGUUGUAAACCGCUUUCGCCUGUGACGAAGCGUGAGUGACGGUAAUGGGUAAAGAAGCACCGGCUAACUACGUGCCAGCAGCCGCGGUAAUAAU
This 473-nucleotide ribosomal RNA is filed under the name uncultured bacterium. RNAcentral's name for it is "bacterial SSU rRNA". It matches the Rfam family "Bacterial small subunit ribosomal RNA", at positions 43 to 526 of the family's 1533-position model. The record is from RNAcentral.